AGCGAACGCUGGCGGCAGGCCUAAAACAUGCAAGUCGAACGCCCGUAGCAAUACGGGAGUGGCAGACGGGUGAGUAACACGUGGGAACGUGCCCUUUGGUUCGGAACAACACAGGGAAACUUGUGCUAAUACCGGAUAAGCCCUUACGGGGAAAGAUUUAUCGCCAGAGGAUCGGCCCGCGUCUGAUUAGCUAGUUGGUGAGGUAACGGCUCACCAAGGCUACGAUCAGUAGCUGGCUGAGAGGAUGAUCAGCCACACUGGGACUGAGACACGGCCCAGACUCCUACGGGAGGCAGCAGUUAGGAAUCUUGGACAAUGGGCGCAAGCCUGAUCCAGCCAUGCCGCGUGAGUGAUGAAGGCCUUAGGGUUNUAAAGCUCUUUCAGGCGGGGAAGAUAAUGACGGUACCCGCAGAAGAACG
RNAcentral lists this ribosomal RNA (419 nucleotides) under uncultured bacterium. RNAcentral's name for it is "bacterial SSU rRNA". It matches the Rfam family "Bacterial small subunit ribosomal RNA", at positions 29 to 491 of the family's 1533-position model. The record is from RNAcentral.